ACGCGUAGGUAACCUGCCUUGUAGCGGGGGAUAACUAUUGGAAACGAUAGCUAAUACCGCAUAACAAUGGAUGGCACAUGUCAUUUAUUUGAAAGGGGCAAUUGCUCCACUACAAGAUGGACCUGCGUUGUAUUAGCUAGUAGGUGAGGUAAUGGCUCACCUAGGCGACGAUACAUAGCCGACCUGAGAGGGUGAUCGGCCACACUGGGACUGAGACACGGCCCAGACUCCUACGGGAGGCAGCAUG
Molecule: ribosomal RNA, 247 nt
Filed under: uncultured bacterium
Lineage: Bacteria
Description: partial 16S ribosomal RNA
Rfam family: Bacterial small subunit ribosomal RNA
Source: RNAcentral